This 322-nucleotide ribosomal RNA is filed under the name uncultured eukaryote. Its description in RNAcentral is "partial 18S ribosomal RNA". It matches the Rfam family "Eukaryotic small subunit ribosomal RNA", at positions 1470 to 1796 of the family's 1831-position model. The record is from RNAcentral.
CCCUUAGAUGUCCUGGGCCGCACGCGCGCUACACUGACAUGUUCAACAAGUUUCUCCUAGUUCGACAGGACUGGGAAAUCUUUGAACGCAUUUCGUGAUAGGGAUAGAUCAUUGCAAUUAUUGAUCUUGAACGAGGAAUUCCUAGUAAACGCGAGUCAUCAGCUCGCAUUGAUUACGUCCCUGCCCUUUGUACACACCGCCCGUCGCACCUACCGAUUGAAUGUUUCGGUGAAGAUUCCGGAUAGGACUGAUUUGAUUUAUUUCAUUUCUGACCUAAAAGCUAUCUAAACCUCAACAUUUAGAGGAAGGUGAAGUCGUAACA